GCCCUCUGCAGGUGGAACAGGCUGUGGCGAAGAGUUUGCACUCUGGAAUCAGAAUGCCUGCAUCUUAAUUCUGGCUGCGUGAUUUACUGGCUGUGUGACCUUGGGCAAAUCGCUUAAACUCUCUGUGCUCAGUUUCCUCAUCUGUCAAAUGAGAACUUUAGAAUUCACCUAGAGGCUUCCUGGGAGGAUUUUCCUAGCACAGGCCUGGCAGCACAGUGGUGGUCAAGCCAGCCACACCACGAUGAUCUUUCCCUCAAGGUUGCCGAAGAGUUGCUGCAGCUCCAGAUAGCACAUCUGUUUUCAAGGCAAGUAGGGCACAAAAAGGUAGAAUGCUGGUGUCUGUUCCUGUAUCAAUCAUGUGUGUUAU
RNAcentral lists this long non-coding RNA (367 nucleotides) under Dasypus novemcinctus (nine-banded armadillo). Its description in RNAcentral is "lncRNA (ENSDNOG00000052801.1)". Lineage: Eukaryota; Metazoa; Chordata; Mammalia; Cingulata; Dasypodidae. The record is from RNAcentral.